This 582-nucleotide ribosomal RNA is filed under the name uncultured Eustigmatophyceae. Its description in RNAcentral is "SSU rRNA". It matches the Rfam family "Eukaryotic small subunit ribosomal RNA", at positions 575 to 1159 of the family's 1831-position model. The record is from RNAcentral. Lineage: Eukaryota; Eustigmatophyceae.
CGCGGUAAUUCCAGCUCCAAUAGCGUAUACUAAAGUGUUGCAGUUAAAAAGCUCGUUUUUGUUUUUCUGGCGGGGACGGCUGGUCGGUCUCGAAAGGGGCUGUACUGUUGUUGGUUCCCGUCAUCCUUGGGGAGAGCGGCUCUUACAUUAAGUUGUCGGCGUCGGGAUCCCUAUCUUUUACUGUGAAAAAAUUAGAGUGUUCAAAGCAGGCUUAGGCCCUGAAUACAUUAGCAUGGAAUAAUAAGAUACGACCUUGGUGGUCUAUUUUGUUGGUUUGCACGCCAAGGUAAUGAUUAAUAGGGAUAGUUGGGGGUAUUCGUAUUCAAUUGUCAGAGGUGAAAUUCUUGGAUUUAUGGAAGACGAACUACUGCGAAAGCAUUUACCAAGGAUGUUUUCAUUAAUCAAGAACGAAAGUUAGGGGAUCGAAGAUGAUUAGAUACCAUCGUAGUCUUAACCAUAAACUAUGCCGACUAGGGAUCGGUGGGUGCAUUUUUAGGCCUCAUCGGCACCUUAUGAGAGAUCAAGGUCUUUGGGUUCCGGGGGGAGUAUGGUCGCAAGGCUGAAACUUAAAGAAAUUGACGG